AACUUAAGCAAACCUGCAGACUGGUAAACAAACACACACACUUCAGCUGACCCGGGCAAGGUUCUAGUAGGAAGUACUAUGUGAUUUUUUUUUUUUUCACACUCAGAACAUAAGUGUCAAUGCUCUCACUAUGAAGAAGAGUCACAGGAUUGGCUGGGGUGGUGAAAGCGAA
Molecule: long non-coding RNA, 172 nt
Filed under: Mus spretus (western wild mouse)
Lineage: Eukaryota; Metazoa; Chordata; Mammalia; Rodentia; Muridae
Description: predicted gene, 55841 (ENSMSPG00010050826.1)
Rfam family: LincRNA-p21 conserved region 1
About the family: LincRNA-p21 is an large intergenic non-coding RNA.
Source: RNAcentral